This 2289-nucleotide long non-coding RNA is filed under the name Gallus gallus (chicken). Its description in RNAcentral is "lncRNA (ENSGALG00010004834.1)". Lineage: Eukaryota; Metazoa; Chordata; Aves; Galliformes; Phasianidae. The record is from RNAcentral.
UUUAGUCAGUAAAUAUUAAGAAUUAUAUAAGUGUUUUGUUUUGUGCCAUGUAAUGAACCUGUACUAAGACCUAGCAGGAUUGUACUGUCUCAAGGAACAGCAAAUCAGAAGAAAGCUCCUCUCUUUAUCUUUUUACUCUUCCAAGUGGUUGUCUUUCCUAUUGAAGUUUCUUCUGUACUUUGAAGAUUUUUUUGAACAAAUGCAUCACUUCAGUAUUAGCAUAGAUAUUUAGUCUGUCAAAGCGAGUGGAUACAAGUCCAGAUCAAUCUUUGUUUCUUUUUAAAGGUAACUGUAUUCACAUUCUUUCUUUUGUUUUAAAGGGGCUCAGCCACUAAGGGUUUGGAAUCUGCUGGAAAUUUGCUCCAGCUUCCCAGUGCUAGGAUGUGCAAGAUUUGUGGAGAGACUGCAGGGGUGGCUGAGGGAAAAGGACAUUUUUCUGCAAACAGAUGAAGCAACAAACAAAUGAAGUUUAAUAAUGAAGCAGAAAUGAAUUUUGUAAAGGAAGCUGGAAACGUGGAGUGUGGACCUUGCAAAGCAAUUCUAGGAGACCAUGGGAUUGAACUAACUCCAUGAGGCACUGGCUGGAGGGGACUUUGGCAGAAUCACUGGGGAAUUCCAUGUAAUUAAAGAAGAAAAGAUCUAUAACAUGUUUUGAAUGAACUUUUAACUGUGAUAUGGAAACUCUAAACUCUUUACCUCACCCUAGGGCUUGCCUCAUUUACAGAUUCAGUAAGGGCGGCUUCUGUUCUAGUGUUCAAAUUCUAAGUUCUUUGAUAGCUUGUGUACAUGUUUUCAGACAUGUUUUGUCUGAACUAUGGUUUUAGCUACACCACCAUUUCCUAACUCACCUUUACUAAAGCUGUCUAAAAUGUUGCUAGAUUCUAGCAAAAGGCAAAAUAAAUGACAUCCACUGCCCCUCCAAGACCACGCACAUGCCCAUGAGUUCUAUCAUAGAUGAAAACGAAGUUAAUGUGACCAGCUUUUACCUUGGCAGCCCAGCUUGGCGUUUGCUCACAUACUGCACACCUUUCAAGAGCUUUUUUAUUUCAGAGGCAUGGCUAAUCCAUUAUUUUUGGCAUCUCCUCAGUACUAUGUUCUGUUUUCAAGAGCUUAUGGCUCUUGAUUAUGCCCAUGUGGCUCUGGGCAGCCUGCUCACAGCACAGAGGUUGAAACCAGAUGAUCAUUAUGGUCCUUUUCCACCCAGGCCAUUCUAUGAUUCACUUUUCUCCUGGUUUUUGUUUUCAUUGAAAUAUCACUCAUUUUCUAUUUGCAAGUGCCCCAUGUUCACCAGAGUAAAUCCUUUAGACCUAGUGGACUGAAACCAUCUUCUUUGUAUUUUUUUACUUCCUCUUUUUGAAUUCUUAUUUAAACAUUUAUUCUUCUAUCACUGAUUUUAAUUGUCAUAAGCAACAUUAAUUAUUAGCUUUUUCUCCUAAAGGCUGACUGAAAUGAAUUUUAGAUCAGAUUGGCUGUUCAGAAGAGAACGUUUGUGUUUUUUUUGUUUGUUUCUGUGUAUCAGUGACUCAGAACAGCUUAACUGCAAAUGUGAGAAAUUGCUGUGGAAGAGCAGCAUUUAUUGCAGGACACUAAAUGACUGCCCUCAAGUGGCAAAAUGAGAGCAGUACCACUCGCUAUAUUUCUGUACGUCUGUAUGUAGAAAAAAGCCCAAGGAUUUAAACUGAAAUAUUAUUCAGGGAUUGAUACCUCAGCUUCCUUUUUGAAAGUAAGGGGUAGGCCUGCAUUUCUGAACGGCUGGGUUCCAUGCAAAAGCUGAUGCUUCUCACAUAGGCAGUGUUUAUUUUCUUGAUAUGUUUUUUUUCUGUGCAAUUUUGGUUCCUUUUAUACAGUUUAUCAAGUUAAUUUUAAAAUUCUCAUUUACUUCAGCGAUUAAGAACUGUGCAAUCCUUCUAAUGUUGAUUAAGAAAGAAGUCUUAAGAAUAUUAAUGUUUGACUUUGGAUAUUCCUACAUUCUCUUUAUUGUCACUGGAAAUUUGGAGUGAGUAGCCAACAGUCAAUUUUUUUUUCUCAUUUUUUGCUAUAUCUUCUACAAUAACAAAGGCUUUAUACUACUGAAGAAAAAUAAUUUUCUCAUUGUAGCGGCACUUCAUGCUCUGUUCUCAGAACUUCAUUCAGGCAGGUUUGAAGCACUGAAAAGCAGGCAAACAAAAAAUGUACCCCGCUUUAUCUUCCUCAUCCUCUCGUUCUGGAGCUGCUGUGAUGCAAAGUCAAACUAUAAUCUAGCAUUAAUAGCAAAGUGAAUAGAAAAUUCAGGCAAGGCAUAUUGAAAAG